UGGUAAUAACUGCCUAUAUUGUGCUUUGCUGCUGCUGCCAGCUCCUCUCCUUGACAGCGUGCAUUUGAUUGUUGAGAAGUAGAUAAGGCAUACGGUUAGUGACUGGACAGAGAGAAACACCAAUGGAGGAAAACAUCUUCACUAGACUGUAUGAGGCAAUAGUCCACUACUGGCGUGGGCGCAAGUUCAACCCAAAGAGACCACCACCCAGAAAACAAUUUGCCAUGUCCAGUAGUUCCAUGAUGGAAGGACACAAAAUGACGCCAACAGUACAUCUAGGUGAUCACUGUUUUAAAUUCAUCAAUGGACAAUGGAAAAAGAAACGUGCGCCCCAUAAUAAGAGCCAGUUGGAUGACCAUCUCAGUCUCCUGCAAGCACAAAAUGAUCAUCUGAGGGAGAUGAAUAUCUUAUUAGAACAGCAGUGUGAUGAGCUGAGGGAAGAACAUUUCCAGAUAUCAUAGAUUUCUGACCAGUAAAACAUUACUAGAAUGGUCCAAAGCGCA
This is a long non-coding RNA of Pseudophryne corroboree (corroboree frog), 503 nucleotides long. RefSeq lists it as uncharacterized. The record is from RefSeq and is a predicted model, not a curated record. The transcript has 2 exons. NCBI's taxonomy places the organism in Eukaryota, Metazoa, Chordata, Amphibia, Anura, Myobatrachidae.